CACAGCUGCGCGUCCGGGCGCUCGGCGGGCAGGUUCGCCGCCCCCUCCGCCCCCCAACGGCGGGCUCUUUGGGCCUCAUCACUCAGAGAUGCCAGAAUUAAAAGACUCCACCCUAUGAAGGUUAUAUUGGAAGGGGAAAAAGUAUCGUGAUUAAGGACUAAGAUGGCAAGUAAUCCAAUAUAUGUUAAACACAUAUUUCCACAAUGAUCAUAGCAGCAAGAUUUUUUUAAAAGACUGGUAGCUCUCAUUCAGAAAUUGGAUUUCAACUUACAUCAAACAUCCUUGGAAAGAGAGAGUUUCCAGCGGUUGGUGGGAGCAUCCAACAACAUAAGAACAGGGUUGAUCACAG
Molecule: long non-coding RNA, 349 nt
Filed under: Sarcophilus harrisii (Tasmanian devil)
Lineage: Eukaryota; Metazoa; Chordata; Mammalia; Dasyuromorphia; Dasyuridae
Description: lncRNA (ENSSHAG00000030801.1)
Source: RNAcentral